AUGACUCCUAAGACCGAGUUGGAGAUGAUGAAGACAAGUACGAUGCGUUGCAAACUCUUCUUUGAUCAUUGCGGAUUUAAUCGAACAGAAAACCAAAAGACUAACCAGGUCAUUGUUACUAUACUUCCAAACAUACGCAGUAAAACACAUCUUCUUCAAAAAUCUCAAACAUCAGCAAAAUUGUUUUUCAAAUCCAACAAAUUCGUCCUUCAACAACGCCUCCACGAGCUUUCUUCUCAGAAUCAGGUUCAAGAGAAAGCUCUACCAACAUCUUCCAUCUUCCAUUGA
This is a non-coding RNA of Vicia faba (fava bean), 288 nucleotides long. NCBI's taxonomy places the organism in Eukaryota, Viridiplantae, Streptophyta, Magnoliopsida, Fabales, Fabaceae. The record is from the annotation of a GenBank genome assembly.